GAUGAACGCUGGCGGCGUGCCUAAUACAUGCGAGUCGAGCGAACAGACGAGGAGCUUGCUCCUCUGACGUUAGCGGCGGACGGGUGAGUAACACGUGGAUAACCUACCUAUAAGACUGGGAUAACUUCGGGAAACCGGAGCUAAUACCGGAUAAUAUAUUGAACCGCAUGGUUCAAUAGUGAAAGACGGUUUUGCUGUCACUUAUAGAUGGAUCCGCGCCGCAUUAGCUAGUUGGUAAGGUAACGGCUUACCAAGGCAACGAUGCGUAGCCGACCUGAGAGGGUGAUCGGCCACACGGGAACUGGAACACGGUCCAGACUCCUACGGGAGGCAGCAGUAGGGAAUCUUCCGCAAUGGGCGAAAGCCUGACGGAGCAACGCCGCGUGAGUGAUGAAGGUCUUCGGAUCGUAAAACUCUGUUAUUAGGGAAGAACAAAUGUGUAAGUAACUAUGCACGUCUUGACGGUACCUAAUCAGAAAGCCACGGCUAACUACGUG
Molecule: ribosomal RNA, 497 nt
Filed under: uncultured bacterium
Lineage: Bacteria
Description: partial 16S ribosomal RNA
Rfam family: Bacterial small subunit ribosomal RNA
Source: RNAcentral